This 577-nucleotide ribosomal RNA is filed under the name Sarocladium spinificis. RNAcentral's name for it is "eukaryotic LSU rRNA". It matches the Rfam family "Eukaryotic large subunit ribosomal RNA", at positions 53 to 652 of the family's 3401-position model. The record is from RNAcentral. Lineage: Eukaryota; Fungi; Ascomycota; Sordariomycetes; Hypocreales; Sarocladiaceae.
GAGGAAAAGAAACCAACAGGGAUUGCCUCAGUAACGGCGAGUGAAGCGGCAACAGCUCAAAUUUGAAAUCUGGCCGCAAGGUCCGAGUUGUAAUUUGCAGAGGAUGCUUUUGGCGAGGUGCCUUCCGAGUUCCCUGGAACGGGACGCCAUAGAGGGUGAGAGCCCCGUACGGUAGGACCACCGAGCCUCUGUAAAGCUCCUUCGACGAGUCGAGUAGUUUGGGAAUGCUGCUCUAAAUGGGAGGUGUACGUCUUCUAAAGCUAAAUACCGGCCAGAGACCGAUAGCGCACAAGUAGAGUGAUCGAAAGAUGAAAAGCACUUUGAAAAGAGGGUUAAAAAGUACGUGAAAUUGUUGAAAGGGAAGCAUUCAUGACCAGACUUGGGCUUGGUUGAACAUCCGGCGUUCUCGCCGGUGCACUCUGCCAGUCCAGGCCAGCAUCAGUUUGCCCCGGGGGAUAAAGGCGGUGGGAAUGUGGCACCCUCCGGGGUGUGUUAUAGCCCGCCGUGUAAUGCCCUGGGGUGGACUGAGGAACGCGCUUCGGCACGGAUGCUGGCGUAAUGGUCAUCAAUGACCCGU